Molecule: ribosomal RNA, 1186 nt
Filed under: uncultured fungus
Lineage: Eukaryota; Fungi
Description: eukaryotic LSU rRNA
Rfam family: Eukaryotic large subunit ribosomal RNA (bases 535-1186)
Source: RNAcentral
CUUGGUCAUUUAGAGGAAGUAAAAGUCGUAACAAGGUUUCCGUAGGUGAACCUGCGGAAGGAUCAUUAAAGAACGCCCCGUUUUUUGAAAUGGGUAAUUCCAAACCGUGUAUACGUACCUUUGUUGCUUUGGCAGGCCGCCUCUCGAGGCGUUGGCUCCGGUUGACUGUGCCUGCCAGAGGACCCAAACUCGUUUGUUUAGUGAUGUCUGAGUACUAUAUAAUAGUUAAAACUUUCAACAACGGAUCUCUUGGUUCUGGCAUCGAUGAAGAACGCAGCGAAAUGCGAUAAGUAAUKUGAAUUGCAGAAUUCAGUGAAUCAUCGAAUCUUUGAACGCACAUUGCGCCCCUUGGUAUUCCGAGGGGCAUGCCUGUUCGAGCGUCAUUAUAACCACUCAAGCUUCGGCUUGGUCUUGGGGUUUCGAGGUUUCUCGGCCCUUAAAAUCAGUGGCGGUGCCAUCUGGCUCUAAGCGUAGUAAUUUUUCUCGCUACAGGGUCCAGGUGGUUACCUGCCAAUAAACCCCCCCUUUUAAGGUUGACCUCGGAUCAGGUAGGGAUACCCGCUGAACUUAAGCAUAUCAAUAAGCGGAGGAAAAGAAACCAACAGGGAUUACCUCAGUAACGGCGAGUGAAGCGGUAACAGCUCAAAUUUGAAAUCUGGCUCUUUCAGGGUCCGAGUUGUAAUUUGUAGAAGAUGCUUUGGGUGAGGCUCCGGUCUAAGUUCCUUGGAACAGGACGUCAUAGAGGGUGAGAAUCCCGUACGUGACUGGGUGCCUUUGCUCGUGUAAAGCUCUUUCGACGAGUCGAGUUGUUUGGGAAUGCAGCUCAAAAUGGGUGGUAAAUUUCAUCUAAAGCUAAAUAUUGGCCAGAGACCGAUAGCGCACAAGUAGAGUGAUCGAAAGAUGAAAAGCACUUUGGAAAGAGAGUUAAACAGUACGUGAAAUUGUUGAAAGGGAAGCGCUUGCAACCAGACUUGCAUGCUGUUGAUCAUCCGAGAUUUUUCCCGGUGCACUCGGCAGUAUUCAGGCCAGCAUCGGUUUCGGUGGGCGGAUAAAGGCCUUGGGAAUGUAGCUUCUUUCGGGGAGUGUUAUAGCCCUCGGUGCAAUGCGCCCUACCGGGACCGAGGACCGCGCUUCGGCUAGGAUGCUGGCGUAAUGGUUGUAAGCGACCCGUCUUGAAACACGGACC